This 252-nucleotide ribosomal RNA is filed under the name uncultured bacterium. RNAcentral describes it as "partial 16S ribosomal RNA". It matches the Rfam family "Bacterial small subunit ribosomal RNA", at positions 524 to 776 of the family's 1533-position model. The record is from RNAcentral.
UACGUAGGGUGCAAGCGUUAAUCGGAAUUACUGGGCGUAAAGCGUGCGCAGGCGGUUCGUUGUGUCGGCGGUGAAAGCCCCGGGCUUAACCUGGGAAUGGCCGUUGAAACUGGCGAACUGGAGUGUGGCAGAGGGGGUGGAAUUCCGCGUGUAGCAGUGAAAUGCGUAGAGAUGCGGAGGAACACCGAUGGCGAAGGCAGCCCCCUGGGCUAACACUGACGCUCAGGCACGAAAGCGUGGGGAGCAAACAGG